This 733-nucleotide long non-coding RNA is filed under the name Sorghum bicolor (sorghum). Its description in RNAcentral is "long non-coding RNA (SBIC_LNC017896)". The record is from RNAcentral. Lineage: Eukaryota; Viridiplantae; Streptophyta; Magnoliopsida; Poales; Poaceae.
AACAAGCAAAAUUAAAAAAGCACAAAAGUUCUGUAUUUUUCUAACUAAUCAUGAAAUGUGGUAUGCAUACUAGAAUUAAUUAACUAAUUAACCUUGUCAUAAAUUGCAAAUGAAAGUAUUAUAAGUUUCUAAUUUUUUAUAAACAAAAAACCUAAAAUUCUCUAUUUCUAAUUUCUCUAAACAAGCAAAAUUAAAAAAAGCACAAAAAUUCUCUAUUUUUCUAACUAAUCAUGAAAUGUGGUAUGCAUACUAGUUAUAAUUAACUAAUUAACUCGGUCACAAAUUGAAAAUUAAAGUAUUAUAUGUUUUAAAUUUUUUUUAAAUAAUUAAAAUAAAAAACAUAGUAUCACUAUUUCUCUAAAAAAAUACGUCGAUAUUGAGAAGAUGAAGCUAGUGACCUUUUAAAAAAAUCAUAAAAUAAAAAACAACAUACAUAACACUAGAAAAUGACAUAUGCCGCUGCUAAAUAUUGAGAAGAUGAAUCUAGUGACCUCUUAACAAGUCGAUGACGGCGUAGAAAUGAUGAAAUGAAUCAAUAGCCGGAGAUGAGAGCAAGAACAAAGCAACUGCAAAUGAAGAACACAACAAAAGAGUGAAGAUCGAUGUGCUUGGCUAGGGGAAGAAGAAGAGUUUAAAUAUGGGGAAGGACAUUUAGUCUCGGUUUCAUUUAACAACCGGAACUAAAGUCCAACAUUAGUCCCGACCGGUGAGACGGACCGAGACAACACCUUUU